This is a long non-coding RNA of Chinchilla lanigera (long-tailed chinchilla), 1412 nucleotides long. RefSeq lists it as uncharacterized. NCBI's taxonomy places the organism in Eukaryota, Metazoa, Chordata, Mammalia, Rodentia, Chinchillidae. The transcript is spliced from 3 exons. The record is from RefSeq and is a predicted model, not a curated record.
CCUGUGUGUGCGCUGGGGGUCAUGUCUGGAGGCAAAAAGAGCAGAAGCUGGGGGCGGGCUCAGAGAGCAGACUGAUACGAAAAGGGCAAACGCGGUACACUGUGGCGGCGGACAGUGGGGCGGCAGGUCCCCACCAGACGGAAUUCCACCGCCUCUCACCUCUCUCCAGUCUUGAGAAAGCUUCCCGCGGCCUCGAACCCCUCCUCCACCGCCCCCCUCACCCGGAACUGGCAUUUCAAAAAGCACUGUGCAGUCAACCGGCGCCGGGAGCUGGAAGCACACACUUCAAGAAUGCCGGCUGCCAGGAGUGCGUUGGGCACAGAAGGCUGCUGCUCGGCCCAGGAAGACCCUCACUGGACGGCAGUUGUGACACUGCCCAGGAGGCCACAUUUGGCUCUCAACGUGGCGGAUGGUGCCUUCUGUCCUUGGUUCUACAAGAGUGACUUUUCCUGACAGUCUUCUGGCCUCCCACCUGGCUGGCUUCUGUUGGGACGGUGGUUCUAGGUAGUAGAGCCUGCAGCCCUUGCCUCUUUGCUCUGGAUUUCCCAGGGCACUAAAGCCCAGGUCCAGGGCAUUAAAGCCCAGGGCCCAGGGAGGCACCCUUUCCUUCCCAGGCCAGGUGUAGGGCUUGUUCUCUAAGUGCAGACCCAGUAGUUCCAAGGCUCCUACUGAUCCUGGGCCACAGUAACUCCUGCAGAGUGCCUCUGUCCCCUGCCAGCUGCUGUGGGGUAGAGACGCCCAGCCCCAGCAGGAAGGCCUUUCUGCUUGGUUUGAUCAACAGUAAAGCAAUUGGUGCUCGCUUUGUUUUGACUCUCAUGUUUAACAGCAGAGCCUGUGACAUCACAGAAAAGCAGCCUUGGGCUUGAGUGAGGUGGGAUCCAUCCCUGGUAACAUGGCUCUUCCAGAGUUGUCUGGAUAUGGGAAAUGGGAUGGCCCAUUGUUCUGAUGAUACUGCUUUCCCCCACCCUGGAUCCCUGGGGUUCAGAUGGGGCCAGCUCUAUCCACUAGCUUUAGAAGCAGACAUCUGAUCCAGGCCUGCACACAGGCUCCGGGAACUCCCCCAGGGACUUCUGCAGCAACCGUGGGGAAAGAGCUUUCUCUUGCUGUGGGAGUUGCUAAGUCCACAGGGUAUAAGCUUGGUGCUGCUGAUGGCCAAUCUGUUACCCACUUGAGGGUGAAGCCAACAAAGAGGAACGAGAACUAAGAUGGACAGAGUGUGCCGUCCAGACUUGUCCCUUGCUGCCCAGGAAGUUCCUGAAUCCAGCCGUGCCGGAAGCCAACUCUGCCCCGGGACUGUCCUGAUUAUGUGAGCCAGUGCUUUUUAGUUUUGUCUAGCCGAGCGUGGUGACGCACGCCUGUAAUCCCAGCACUUGGGAGGCUGAGGCAGGAGGAUCGUAACGAGUUUGAGGCCA